Long non-coding RNA from Apis cerana (Asiatic honeybee), 1448 nucleotides. RefSeq lists it as uncharacterized. The record is from RefSeq and is a predicted model, not a curated record. NCBI's taxonomy places the organism in Eukaryota, Metazoa, Arthropoda, Insecta, Hymenoptera, Apidae.
AUCAGUAUUCAUAAAGCACGACGACGAGAAGCGAUUGAAUAGACUAUCUAUUGGAUGAACAAAUCGAACGGAGGAUGCUUUAUAUAGGAAUGGAGAGAACGCGUAUAUCACGAAUUGCGUCUUCGAAUGGACAGUCCUCGGACGGAAACCGCGUCGCGUUGGUUUAUAAUGCGAUACCUAUUGACGACCGUCGAUGGAAAACAACCUUCAUAUGUAAGGUUUCACGCAUACAUACGUUUAUAUGUAUAUGUAUACUCUAUAUUCUUUUAUGUGCAGAGAGUACAGAUCUUUUGCGUUCGCUGAAUGGUGGAUUAAAAUUGAUUUCUUUCUAUAUUUUAUGAAUGUGUACAUGUUUAUAUUUAUAAACGAGAUUGAAAAUCGAGACUUGUAUUAUACUGUUCAUUAAAAAAACAUUAUUUAUUUGGUUUGAUUUUAGAAAAUAGGUUAUCGUUGCAAUAUGAAUAAUUCACGGAAUCCAGAGCAAAGAUGAAAAAAUGUAAGAUAUGCAAAAAGACAAAAAGGAAAUCAUGACAAAUGGAAGAAAAGUCUGUACAAUGAUCAUGUUACUACGUCGGAAAUUCUGUCUUUAAUUGAAGAUAACAUCUACUCCUGCCUACUCGCUUGGUUGCUUAAGUUGCAAAGCAAGAAACUGCACAAAAGAGUCACGUGCAAUAUGAUUAGGAAAUUUUUCUCAGAAGAUAAAUUGGAAAGAAAUGAUAUUUGACGCGUUAAAUUAAUGAAAUUAACAAUAUGUUUGACGGAUAUCUCUAUCCAAAAAAAAAUGUAUAGAAAAAAAAAUUUAUUCUGUUGAUAAAACAUGUAAAAAAAAAAACAGAUAAAGAAAGAAAAAAAUUUUGUUUUGACAGGUUUUAGUCCAUUAUUAAAACAAGACAUGUUCCUAUAAAGAACAAAGAAGACCAAUAUAAGAUAUAAAAUAACAAGAUAUAUCGCAGUUUGUGCAAAAUAAUCACUAUGCACGCAUAGGCAUGAGAAAAAUGCAUUCUUUAUAUAUGUAAAUUCUUUAAUUCAAGGAUAUUCAAGAAUAUCGCUGAAAAUUUUUUUUCAUUUUUAAAGUCGAAUUUUUUUUUUAAUUCUUUUUUUAAUUUGACAGAUAUUACAAAAUAAAAACAAAAAACAAAAAUAAUAUAGAAUGAAUUUGUUUCUGAAACAUUUUAUCACGAACUUAAUUUCAAGUAAUUUCAUCACGUAUGCAAAUUAAAUUUUUCUUUCAGCUGAAACGAUGUUCGAAUGAAAAUAUAAUUGAUAUUUCUGACAUUGAAUAAAAUGUAAUAAAAAUAUUUGUAGAAAAUUUUGAAAAUAUUGUUUAAAAUUAUUUGAUAAAACUUACUAAUUUUUAAUAUGAGAAAAAAUCUAUUUUUUUAUUGUAAAGCAAAUUUCAAAAAACAGAUUUGUAAAUAUAUUGAAAUAAAUGUAAAAAAAAAUAAAAA